Molecule: non-coding RNA, 73 nt
Organism: Nematostella vectensis (starlet sea anemone)
Lineage: Eukaryota; Metazoa; Cnidaria; Anthozoa; Actiniaria; Edwardsiidae
Source: Rfam
GCCUCUUUAGCUCAGUGGUUAGAGCACUGGUCUAGUAAACCAGGGAUCGAGAGUUCGACUCUCUCCAGAGGCU